Molecule: non-coding RNA, 24 nt
Filed under: Arabidopsis thaliana (thale cress)
Lineage: Eukaryota; Viridiplantae; Streptophyta; Magnoliopsida; Brassicales; Brassicaceae
Source: RNAcentral
GAUUUAGGUAUAUUUCAGCCCAAA